RNAcentral lists this ribosomal RNA (490 nucleotides) under uncultured bacterium. RNAcentral's name for it is "partial 16S ribosomal RNA". It matches the Rfam family "Bacterial small subunit ribosomal RNA", at positions 30 to 507 of the family's 1533-position model. The record is from RNAcentral.
AUUGAACGCUGGCGGCAGGCUUAACACAUGCAAGUCGAGCGGUAGCACAAGAGAGCUUGCUCUCUGGGUGACGAGCGGCAGACGGGUGAGUAAUGUCUGGGAAACUGCCUGAUGGAGGGGGAUAACUACUGGAAACGGUAGCUAAUACCGCAUAACGUCGCAAGACCAAAGAGGGGGACCUUCGGGCCUCUUGCCAUCAGAUGUGCCCAGAUGGGAUUAGCUAGUAGGUGGGGUAAUGGCUCACCUAGGCGACGAUCCCUAGCUGGUCUGAGAGGAUGACCAGCCACACUGGAACUGAGACACGGUCCAGACUCCUACGGGAGGCAGCAGUGGGGAAUAUUGCACAAUGGGCGCAAGCCUGAUGCAGCCAUGCCGCGUGUGUGAAGAAGGCCUUCGGGUUGUAAAGCACUUUCAGCGAGGAGGAAGGUGGUGAACUUAAUACGUUCAUCAAUUGACGUUACUCGCAGAAGAAGCACCGGCUAACUCCGUG